Molecule: ribosomal RNA, 504 nt
Filed under: uncultured Anaerococcus sp.
Lineage: Bacteria; Bacillati; Bacillota; Tissierellia; Tissierellales; Peptoniphilaceae
Description: partial 16S ribosomal RNA
Source: RNAcentral
CACGUAAUUAGCCGGACCUUAUUCGUAUAGUACUGUCAUUUUCUUCCUAUACAAAAGAUUUUUACAACCCGAAGGCCUUCUAAAUCACGCGGCGUCGCUGCAUCAGGGUUUGCCCCCCGAUUGUGCAAAAUUCCCCACUGCUGCCUCCCGUAGGAGUCUGGGCCGUGUCUCAGUCCCAAUGUGGCCGUACACUCUCUCAAGCCGGCUACUGAUCGUUGCCUUGGUGGGCUGUUAUCUCACCAACUAGCUAAUCAGACGCAAGUCCAUCUUACACCGCUAAAACACUUUGAUUACUUCCUCAUGCGAGAUUGUAAUGUCAUAGGGUAUUAUUCUCCGUUUCCAGAGGCUAUCCCCGUUGUGUAAGGCAGGUUACUCACGCGUUACUCACCCGUUCGCCACUAAUCCACUUAAGGUCAUUCCGAAGAAAUCUUUUAAGUUUCAUCGUUCGACUUGCAUGUGUUAUGCACGCCGCCAGCGUUAAUCCUGAGCCAGGACUCGAACUAC